CGGCGGACGGGUGAGUAACACGUGGGUAACCUACCUAUAAGACUGGGACAACUUCGGGAAACCGGAGCUAAUACCGGAUAAGAUAUCGAACCGCAUGGUUCGAUAGUGAAAGAUGGUUUUGCUAUCACUUAUAGAUGGACCCGCGCCGUAUUAGCUAGUUGGUGAGGUAACGGCUCACCAAGGCAACGAUACGUAGCUGACCUGAGAGGGUGAUCGGCCACACUGGAACUGAGACACGGUCCAGACUCCUACGGGAGGCAGCAGCC
RNAcentral lists this ribosomal RNA (266 nucleotides) under uncultured Staphylococcus sp. RNAcentral's name for it is "partial 16S ribosomal RNA". It matches the Rfam family "Bacterial small subunit ribosomal RNA", at positions 96 to 355 of the family's 1533-position model. The record is from RNAcentral. Lineage: Bacteria; Bacillati; Bacillota; Bacilli; Caryophanales; Staphylococcaceae.